Molecule: ribosomal RNA, 924 nt
Filed under: Triticum aestivum (bread wheat)
Lineage: Eukaryota; Viridiplantae; Streptophyta; Magnoliopsida; Poales; Poaceae
Description: partial small subunit ribosomal RNA
Source: RNAcentral
AUGGAUUCACUGUUGCUGUUCAGUAUAUCUCUCGUGUGGUUCGUCUGUCGUUCUGUGUUCUGUUUCGUUCUGCCCGCCACGAAUCCGUCCAUGGCCCAGGCCUCGGCCUCGGCGCCGCCGACUUCGCGGGGGCGCCCAGGGUCGUCGCCGCGGAGGCCGACGCCGACCUCGUGCUGCUCCGCUACGCGCGGCUACGCUUGCGCUGCUUCGACUACUUCCUCUACACGCCGCACGGAUCACGCUCGGAGGCCCGCGCGGUAUCCUCGCCUUCAACGUGUUCGACGAAAGUCCCGUGCUCCAGGACGUGCCUCUGCCGCCGCCUGCGAGGGGGAAAAGGCUAUCUUACGCCUACCACAAGCGCUGUUCCUUCCCGAUCCGGGACAUCACCGUCAGCCCAAGCAAAGAUUGCAUCAAGCACAUCGAGAUGGAAACUGGCCUGCCAAGAAGGGAGAACGUGGUGACCUCCGAGGAGUACCGCCGAGGUUCCACCAGAAGCCACGCCCUGAACCCCGCUGUGGUGGCUGGAGGGCCACCACAUGGAGCAUGCCGAUCCUGAUUCCAUUCUGUCAUGGGAGGACUGGAGCCCUGGCUGCACCGGAUGUCGAUGAGAUUAUCGUCGGGCCAAUACAUUCCAAGCUGCUGCCAUGGACGCCAGGCAGUAUCAGUGACAGUGAGCCCACGGAGGUGACGUUGCUGCCAGUCCUCAACACGGGUUUACCCGCAAUGAGUAUGGAUGAUGAUGUUGUGUACCUGCUGUCCAAGGCAUGCUCCUCUGGUGAGAUGGAAGUGGUGAUUGCUGUUGACUCGAGGAAGAAGACGCUGCGAGGAGUGGGCAAGCUUGUUGCCGGAAAAGACUUCACUGACAUGCGCAACCUCACCACCAAGAUCUCCAAGUAUCUCAGUCUCAAUACGGCCGCAGAAUGA